AGAGUUUGAUCCUGGCUCAGAUUGAACGCUGGCGGCGUGCCUAACACAUGCAAGUCGAGCGGCAGCGCGGGAGCAAUCCUGGCGGCGAGCGGCGGACGGGUGAGCAAUAUUUGGGAAUCUGCCUAUUAGUGGGGGACAACCCGGGGAAACUCGGGCUAAUACCGCAUACGCACUACGGUGGAAAGCCGGGGACCGCAAGGCCUGGCGCUAAUAGAUGAGCCCAAAUCGGAUUAGCUAGUUGGUGAGGUAAUGGCUCACCAAGGCUACGAUCCGUAGCUGGUCUGAGAGGACGACCAGCCACACCGGAACUGAGACACGGUCCGGACUCCUACGGGAGGCAGCAGUGGGGAAUAUUGGACAAUGGGCGAAAGCCUGAUCCAGCGACGCCGCGUGGGUGAAGAAGGCCUGCGGGUUGUAAAGCCCUUUCGGUGGGGAAGAAAAGCCUCGACCUAACACGUCGGGGUCUUGACGUAACCCAAGAAAGAAGCACCGGCUAACUCUGUGCCAGCAGCCGCGGUAAUACAGAGGGUGCGAGCGUUAAUCGGAAUUACUGGGCGUAAAGCGCGCGUAGGCGGCUUUGCAAGUCGAGUGUGAAAUCCCCAGGCUUAACCUGGGAACUGCAUUCGAGACUGCAUAACUAGAGUAUGGGAGAGGGAAGUGGAAUUUCAGGUAGCGGUGAAAUGCGUAGAUAUCUGAAGGAACAUCAGUGGCGAAAGCGACUUCCUGGACCAAUACUGACGCUCAUGUGCGAAAGCGUGGGGAGCAAACAGGAUUAGAUACCCUAGUAGUCC
Molecule: ribosomal RNA, 791 nt
Filed under: uncultured bacterium
Lineage: Bacteria
Description: bacterial SSU rRNA
Rfam family: Bacterial small subunit ribosomal RNA
Source: RNAcentral